RNAcentral lists this ribosomal RNA (408 nucleotides) under uncultured Theileria sp. RNAcentral's name for it is "SSU rRNA". It matches the Rfam family "Eukaryotic small subunit ribosomal RNA", at positions 477 to 924 of the family's 1831-position model. Lineage: Eukaryota; Apicomplexa; Aconoidasida; Piroplasmida; Theileriidae. The record is from RNAcentral.
CCGGUUCCGGGGGGUAUCUUCGUCUGAUAAUUGAAAUGAUGGGAAUUUAAACCUCUUCCAGAGUAUCAAUUGGAGGGCAAGUCUGGUGCCAGCAGCCGCGGUAAUUCCAGCUCCAAUAGCGUAUAUUAAAAUUGUUGCAGUUAAAAAGCUCGUAGUUGAAUUUCUGCUGCAUUGCUUGUGUCCCUCUGGGGUCUGUGCAUGUGGCUUUUUUCGGACGGAGUUUCUUUGUCUGAAUGUUUACUUUGAGAAAAUUAGAGUGCUCAAAGCAGGCUUUCGCCUUGAAUAGUUUAGCAUGGAAUAAUAAAGUAGGACUUUGGUUCUAUUUUGUUGGUUUUAGGUACCAAAGUAAUGGUUAAUAGGAACAGUUGGGGGCAUUCGUAUUUAACUGUCAGAGGUGAAAUUCUUAGA